GCUGACACAUCCCUGCCAAUCUCCGGCAGACCCUCCCUCCAAGACCCUCCCACCUCCUGGACAGCAUCCAUGUUGAAGCUGCCUUCAACAUGGAUGCUGUCCAGGAAGUAGGAGGGUCUGGGAGGGAGGGUCUGCCGGAGAUUGGCAGGGAUGUGUCAG
Pelobates cultripes (western spadefoot toad) is the source of this 159-nucleotide non-coding RNA. The record is from the annotation of a GenBank genome assembly. NCBI's taxonomy places the organism in Eukaryota, Metazoa, Chordata, Amphibia, Anura, Pelobatidae.